GGGGAACUGGCUUCCCGAGCUGCAAACUCUUCAAAGAUGAACACUUCCUGCGCGUUCGGUCUGAGCCCGGCUUUUCCCAAGGAAGCUUCUCUAGCUUACAUAAAAGAAACUGACCAAGAGAUGGCUGAACGACUGACUCUGCUGCUCUAAAGGCCGCUCGGAUCAGAGCCGAGAUGAAGGCGAAUAAGAUCAACAAGCCUUCCAAGCCAAAGGAUCCUUCCAAUCCCAAGCCGAGGAAGCGCAAGGAGCGCACUGAGGAAAGGGUGGAGAUGACGGAGAAGGCCUUGGCGA
Molecule: long non-coding RNA, 291 nt
Organism: Beta vulgaris subsp. vulgaris (sugar beet)
Lineage: Eukaryota; Viridiplantae; Streptophyta; Magnoliopsida; Caryophyllales; Amaranthaceae
Exons: 3
Source: RefSeq, a predicted model, not a curated record